AGAGUUUGAUCCUGGCUCAGAAUGAACGUUGGCGGCGUGGAUUAGGCAUGCAAGUCGCGCGACAAGCUUUCUUUAGCUUGCUAUUGAAAGUGGAGGAGCGGCGAAAGGGAGAGUAACGCGUGGAUUAUCUACCUUCAGGAUCGGGAUAGCUGCGGGAAACUGCAAGUAAUACCGAAUAAUGUCUCCGGACCAAAUGGUGCGAUUCCUCCUGAAGAUGAGUCCGCGUCCUAUUAGCUUGUUGGUAAGGUAACGGCUUACCAAGGCAUCGAUGGGUACCGGGUGUGAGAGCAUGGCCCGGCUCACUGGGACUGAGACACUGCCCAGACACCUACGGGUGGCUGCAGUCGAGAACCUUCGGCAAUGGACGCAAGUCUGACCGAGCGACGCCGCGUGCGGGAUGAAGGCCUUCGGGUUGUAAACCGCUGUCAGAGGGGAUGAAAUGCGUAGAGGGCUAUCCCUCUAGCUUGACAUAUCCUCAGAGGAAGUACGGGCUAAGUUCGUGCCAGCAGCCGCGGUAAGACGAACCGUACAAACGUUAUUCGGAAUCACUGGGUUUAAAGGGUGCGCAGGCGGCUUGGCAAGUUGGGUGUGAAAUCCCUCGGCUCAACCGAGGAACUGCGCUCAAAACUGCCAAGCUAGAGGGAGAUAGAGGUGAGCGGAACUUAGGGUGGAGCGGUGAAAUGCGUUGAUAUCCUAAGG
This 699-nucleotide ribosomal RNA is filed under the name uncultured bacterium. Its description in RNAcentral is "bacterial SSU rRNA". It matches the Rfam family "Bacterial small subunit ribosomal RNA", at positions 8 to 704 of the family's 1533-position model. The record is from RNAcentral.